GAGAGAAUGCACAUACACGGAACUCAGCAAAUUCUCUCUCGCAUCAUCAAUUUCCAGGAGCUUCUAGGUCGUCAUUCCCUCUUCAUACUCGGCCACCUCCACUCCACUGGUGGCCGGCACUCAUCUCCGAUUGCCGACCGCUAUAGUCUCUUCGCAUUUGAACCUCAGAGAAUAAAGCAGAGAGUAGAGGGAAGGAAUUCUCAUGUUCAGUUGUGAUUCUCUCUCGAUUUCCUCUAUGCAUCCUUAUCCCUCUCUCCGUCACCAGUUGUCGUCGCAGGCCACUUCCCCAACACCGCCAGCUUUGCAGCCACAGGAAGUGCUCUGUUCGCUUCCGUUUUUUAGGCCAACUUCAACGAAUUGCUUGAUUCUCCUUCUCCCUCCUUUAGCCUGUUCCAGUCUUUGGUGCUACAAUUCCUGAAGCUUCACUCCUCUGAUUUGAUCACCAAUC
RNAcentral lists this long non-coding RNA (448 nucleotides) under Eucalyptus grandis. Its description in RNAcentral is "long non-coding RNA (EGRA_LNC001912)". The record is from RNAcentral. Lineage: Eukaryota; Viridiplantae; Streptophyta; Magnoliopsida; Myrtales; Myrtaceae.